RNAcentral lists this ribosomal RNA (1033 nucleotides) under uncultured archaeon. RNAcentral's name for it is "bacterial SSU rRNA". It matches the Rfam family "Archaeal small subunit ribosomal RNA", at positions 321 to 1354 of the family's 1478-position model. The record is from RNAcentral.
UCCUACGGGGUGCAGCAGGCGCGAAACCUCUGCAAUGCCUGAAAGGGUGACAGGGGGACGCCGAGUGCUCACGUUUUCGCGUGGGCUUUUGCCGAUGGUAAGUACAUCGGCGAAUAAGGGGUGGGCAAGACCGGUGCCAGCCGCCGCGGUAACACCGGCGCCCCGAGUGGGGACCGCUCUUAUUGGGCCUAAAGCAUCCGUAGCCGGCCCGGUAAAUCUUCUGUGAAAUCGGCCAGCUCAACUGGUCGGCGUGCAGAAGACACUGCCGGGCUAGGGACCGGGAGACGCUGGAGGUAUUCCCUGGGUACCGGUAAAAUGGGAUAAUCCANGGAGGACCACCUGUGGCGAAGGCGUCCAGCGGGAACGGGUCCGACGGUGAGGGAUGAAAGCCAGGGGAGCAAAUGGGAUUAGAUACCCCAGUAGUCCUGGCCGUAAACUCUGAGAGGUAGGUGUUGUAUGUCCCACGAGGGCAUGCAGCAUCGAAGGGAAGCCGCAGACCUCUCCGCCUGGGAAGUACGGUCGCAAGGCUGAAACUUAAAGGAAUUGGCGGGGGAGCACCACAAGGGGUGCGGCGUGCGGUCUAAUCGGAUUCAACGCCGAGAACCUUACCGGGGGCGACAGCAGGAUGAAGGUCCGUCUGAAGGGCGUACCUGACGCGCUGAGAGGUGGUGCAUGGCCGUCGUCAGCUCGUGCCGUGAGGUGUCCUGUUAAGUCAGGUAACGAGCGAGACCCGUGCCCACAAUUGCCAGCGCGCGCUUCGGCGUGAGCGGGCACUUUGUGGGGACUGCCUGCGAAAGCAGGAGGAAGGUGCGGGCGACGGUAGGUCUGUAUGCCCCGAAUCUCCCGGGCUACACGCGCGCAACAAUGGCCUGGACAAUGGGCUGCGACGCCGAAAGGCGAAGCGAAUCCUCGAAACCAGGCCCCAGUUCAGAUCGAGGGCUGCAACUCGCCCUCGUGACGCCGGAAUCCCUAGUAAUCGGAGUUCAACAUGCUCCGGUGAACACGUCCCUGUUCCUUGCACUCACCGCCCGUC